Molecule: ribosomal RNA, 254 nt
Filed under: uncultured bacterium
Lineage: Bacteria
Description: partial 16S ribosomal RNA
Rfam family: Bacterial small subunit ribosomal RNA
Source: RNAcentral
UACGUAGGGGGCAAGCGUUGUCCGGAAUCAUUGGGCGUAAAGAGCGUGUAGGCGGCCCGGUAAGUCCGCUGUGAAAGUCCAGGGCUCAACCCUGGGAUGCCGGUGGAUACUGUCGGGCUCGAGUCCGGAAGAGGAGUGUGGAAUUCCUAGGUGUAGCGGUGAAAUGCGCAGAUAUCAGGAGGAACACCAAUGGCGAAGGCAGCACUCUGGGACGUGACUGACGCUGAGACGCGAAAGCGUGGGGAGCAAACAGG